This 1319-nucleotide ribosomal RNA is filed under the name Thrandina parocula. RNAcentral's name for it is "SSU rRNA". It matches the Rfam family "Eukaryotic small subunit ribosomal RNA", at positions 63 to 1383 of the family's 1831-position model. Lineage: Eukaryota; Metazoa; Arthropoda; Arachnida; Araneae; Salticidae. The record is from RNAcentral.
GUACAUGCCGUAUUAAGGCGAAACCGCGAAUGGCUCAUUAAAUCAGUUAUGGUUCCUUGGAUCGUACCUUACUACUUGGAUAACUGUGGCAAUUCUAGAGCUAAUACAUGCAGCAGAGCUCCGACCCUAGUGGACGAGCGCUUUUAUUAGACCAAAACCGAUCGGACUCUGUCCGUAUCUUGUGGUGACUCUGUAUAACUUUGGGCUGAUCGCACGGGCUCGUCCCGGCGACGUAUCUUUCAAGUGUCUGCCUUAUCAACUUUCGAUGGUAGGUUACGCGCCUACCAUGGUCGUAACGGGUAACGGGGAAUCAGGGUUCGAUUCCGGAGAGGGAGCCUGAGAAACGGCUACCACAUCCAAGGAAGGCAGCAGGCGCGCAAAUUACCCACUCCCAGAACGGGGAGGUAGUGACGAAAAAUAACGAUACGGGACUCUUUUGAGACCCCGUAAUUGGAAUGAGUACACUCUAAACCCUUUAACGAUGAUCCAUCGGAGGGAAAGUCUGAUGCCAGCCGCCGCGGUAACUUCAGCUCCGAUAGCGUAUAUUAAAGUUGUUGCGGUUAAAAAGCUCGUAGUUGGAUCUCAGUUCCAGACGGGUGGUCCUCCAAUCGGGGGUUACUGCCUGUUCUGAACAGCCAGCCGGUUUCUCUUGAUGAUCUUCACCGGUUGUCUUGGGUGACCGGCAAGUUUACUUUGAAAAAAUUAGAGUGCUCAAUGCAGGCGUGACGCCUGAAUAAUGGUGCAUGGAAUAAUGGAAUAGGACCUCAGUUCUAUUUUGUUGGUUUUCGGAACACGAGGUAAUGAUUAAGAGGGACAGACGGGGGCAUUCGUACUGCGACGCUAGAGGUGAAAUUCUUGGACCGUCGCAAGACGAACUACUGCGAAAGCAUUUGCCAAGAAUGUUUCCAUUAAUCAAGAACGAAAGUUAGAGGCUCGAAGGCGAUCAGAUACCGCCCUAGUUCUAACCUUAAACGAUGCCAGCCAGCGAUCCGGCUGUGUUCUUCAAAUGACACGCCGGGCAGCUUCCGGGAAACCAAAGCCUUUGGGUUCCGGGGGAAGUAUGGUUGCAAAGCUUAAACUUAAAGGAAUUGACGGAAGGGCACCACCAGGAAUGGAGCCUGCGGCUUAAUUUGACUCAACACGGGUAAACCUACCCGGCCCGGACACAGGAAGGAUUGACAGAUUGAGAGCUCUUUCUUGAUUCUGUGGGUGGUGGUGCAUGGCCGUUCUUAGUUGGUGGAGCGAUUUGUCUGGUUAAUUCCGUUAACGAGCGAGACCCUAGCCUACUAAAUAGGCGCUCCGAUCAAUUGAGUCGGACG